GAUGAACGCUAGCGGCAGGCUUAACACAUGCAAGUCGAGGGGCAGCGCGAUGUAGCAAUACAUUGGCGGCGACCGGCGCACGGGUGCGUAACACGUAUGCUACCUUCCUCUUACUGGGGCAUAGCCCGGAGAAAUCCGGAUUAAUACCCCAUAAUACCUUGAAGGGCAUUCUUCGGGGGUUGAAAGUCACAACGGUAAGAGAUGGGCAUGCGCACGAUUAGCUAGUUGGUGAGGUAAUGGCUCACCAAGGCUACGAUCGUUAGGGGGCCUGAGAGGGUUACUCCCCCACACUGGUACUGAGACACGGACCA
RNAcentral lists this ribosomal RNA (311 nucleotides) under uncultured bacterium. RNAcentral's name for it is "bacterial SSU rRNA". It matches the Rfam family "Bacterial small subunit ribosomal RNA", at positions 28 to 333 of the family's 1533-position model. The record is from RNAcentral.